CGAUGUUCUCAGGGCGGGGUGAAAGUCCCCACCGGCGGUAAGGGCCGAAAGGCCCAAGCCCGCGAGCGCCUUCCGUGAGGGUCAUCCCGAAGGGAAGGGUCAGCAGAUUCGGUGCAACUCCGAAGCCGACGGUCAAAGUCCGGAUGAAAGAGAACGGUC
RNAcentral lists this non-coding RNA (159 nucleotides) under Bradyrhizobium vignae. Its description in RNAcentral is "FMN". It matches the Rfam family "FMN riboswitch aptamer (RFN element)". Rfam says of the family: The RFN element is a highly conserved domain that is found frequently in the 5'-untranslated regions of prokaryotic mRNAs that encode for flavin mononucleotide (FMN) biosynthesis and transport proteins. This element is a metabolite-dependent riboswitch that directly binds FMN in the absence of proteins. Lineage: Bacteria; Pseudomonadati; Pseudomonadota; Alphaproteobacteria; Hyphomicrobiales; Nitrobacteraceae. The record is from RNAcentral.